Petromyzon marinus (sea lamprey) is the source of this 3422-nucleotide non-coding RNA. NCBI's taxonomy places the organism in Eukaryota, Metazoa, Chordata, Hyperoartia, Petromyzontiformes, Petromyzontidae. The record is from RefSeq and is a predicted model, not a curated record.
CACACAGAAAUAUGUGGCACACGUGGCAAGGGUGAUAAUGAUGCACCGACAUGCUGAUGAUGGGGGUGAACGGACCCCGCAUGCCAUGAAGCACACGGGCAACGUCAUCUACAACGUCACCUACACGGUGACGGAGAUGGGCAACUCCAUCCUCAUCGUCAAGUGGGGCGAUGAUUGCAUCCCCGGCAGCCUCUUCCGCAUCACCGUGUCGGGCAGCUACGGCUAGGGUUCACCAUGACAACAAUGAUACGGUGAUGAUGAUAGUGUGACUACGGUAUGGCGAUGAUGGUACUGUAACAAAGAUACGGCAAUGAUUAUACCAUGGCAAUGAUACAGCGAUGGUGAUAGCAUGAUGACAAUACGCGAUGAUGAUACUGUGACAAUAUGGCGAUAAGGUAAUUACGUUGAUGAUACCGUGACGACGAUAUGGCGAUGAUACUGUGAAAACAAUACAGAGCUGAUCAUAGCGCCAUGACAAUAUGGUGAUGAUGUUACCGUGAUGACGAUCCAGCUAUGAUGUACCGUGAUGACGAGAUGGCGAUGACACCAUGACAAUUAUAUGGCAAUGAUACCAUGACAAUGGAAUGGUAAUGAUGAUGAAACCGUGACGACGAUACCGUGAUGAUGAAAACCGUAACAAUACAGCAAUGAUGAUAUCAUGAUGACGAUACGGCGAUGAUGAUACCAUGACAAAGAUACGGCAAUGAUGAUACCAUGAUAACGAUAAGCAGUGAAACCGUGACAACAAUACGGCGAUGAUACCGUGACAACGAUACGGCGAUGAUGAUACCGUAACAGUGAUACGGCAAUGAUAUCAUGAUAACGAUACAGCAGUGAUACCGUGACAACAAUUUCGGCGAUGAUGAUACCAUGAUAACGAUACAGCAGUGAUACCGUGACAAUGAUACGGCGAUGAUGAGAGUGAUGUUUUAUAUAUGCCUUUUCCAAUAAUUUAUAUUAAGAGUGAUAUUGCCUAUUUUUAAUGUAAUAGAUUUCCUUAUAUAUAGAUUCAACGAGUUCCAAACAAAAACAAUAAUGCAGUGACAGAUACCUGUGAACUCCUCUCUUGAGGCAACAAAAGGCCAAAAUGAAACCCCCCUCUCACGCUAGAAUGAUUACACUUAGGGGCAUUUGAGAGCAUCUGUGUCCACAGGCCAUGAGAUUGUUCAGGCCUUGAUGUGACAUAGGAAAUUACUUCAAUAAAUUAGAACAGACAGACACACACACACGUACACCGGCCAAAUGGUCACUCAAAAGGACAGUUGUUCCAUCGUUAGAGGAAACCGACCAAUCACAGGCCGAGGAGCAAAAUCAAAGGAGUUCCGGUCCCUUGUGAGAAGACGAGCCGAGGCAAAACAUUUCGACUACAACAAAAAAGCCAAGCCAUACAAAUCAGUCUUGCAAUGGCAAGCUCCGGGGUAUGGUCCUCGAAAUCAACCAUGGGUGUCGAGUCUUGCAGAGGAGAGGGGCGAUGUGUUGCUAAGUGUUGAGUUCGGCGCUGACAGAGUAUCUCUGAAAGUUUUAUUCUACAUUCAUUCUCAUGUUAUGAGUCGAUUGCAGAGUCAAGGACUGCGAGAAGUUGUAUUGUCCUAAGCUAUAAGAGUUGUGAGAAGCUAAGAGGUGUGCAAAUACAUUUGAUGAGUUUUGGAGAGUGAGUGAGGAGCAGUGACAAGCAGCUCAAAGCAGAAGCCCUCCUGGAGAAAGAGGGGGGGCACACGGGUGGUUGCGCAAGCCAGCUGUUAUUCACAGGACCAGCAGAGCAGCGGCUAACCACUAACCACGAGUGUGCUGACUCGGACCCCAGAAACACAGCAGAGAUAGUAUGUGGACAACUCAAACCAUACUGCCAAUAGUGGAGCCAGGAUUUUCAGGUAGGGGGAAACAAUCCAGCACUGAAAAAUGAUAGGCGUUGUUAGUAACGACUUGUCCCUUACUUUUUAUUCGACGUGUGUGCGGCGAUGGCGCAGCCAUCGAUCGAGGGUCGAAUUAGAACCUGUGUGAUCAGCAUCACACUCGCUGAAGGUGAAUGCCUUCAGGGAAGUCGUGUACUGUAUACGCAACUGCGCACAAUUCUGAGUCAAUUAUAACUUCUUUGCCGUUAUUGCCAAUUAUGGACUCAAACUAUUGCCCUAUCAUCUCAGAGCCCCUGCACGCAAUAAUAUGCUACACAAUGAAAUUGGGGGUGGCAAAAUGUCGAUUUAUUACUAAUAAACCCCAAUGAUCCGAUCGAAAAUAGGGAUUUCGAUUGGAUCAUUGGGGGGCACGGGCCACCACACCCCCAUCCCCCCCCCACUGGCUCCGCCAGUGCAUAGUGCCCACUAUAAUUAUUAGACCUCAUGGUGACUGCCCUCCAACACACAUACAAUGCGCAUUUCGGUACGAAAAAGAUUGUUCCAAGAGCUUUUUUUGCUUCGAAAAGGGUUACCAUUCCAAGGCGGUGAGUUAAUUAGCUGGUCAUGAAAAGCAUUGUCCUGUCCCUUGAGUUGCAUGAACACGGUCAUUUAGAAGUAUUUGUCAUUCGUUUUAUUUUCAUCACUUAAUUUUACAAAUUAAUUUAUUGAUGACACACUAAACAUUUAUAAGCAUCUACGUCAUGAAUCUACACACUCGCAUGAAUAUUCUUUUUUGAGAUAUUUCUUUUAAUUUCAAAAUCAUUGUAAUGAAUUCAUUGAUGUCCACUAACCAUUUGAUAAGCAUCUAUUAGCCAAACCUACACACGCGCAUGUACACUAUUGUUUCGGGAUAUUAAUUUGAAUUGCAUAAUCUUACCAAUUGGGCACAUGUUUCUUGAGCAUGGUUCCGUAUGAAUAUUGUCAUUUUUAAGGACUUUUCUAUCGUUGUGUAUUGUCGCGCUACUACGAGGAGUUAGCCUGUUGUUUUGUUGCUCAGUUUGACAACCUAACCAUUGGGGUUUCAUUUACGGAUACAUGAGUAGUGGUAAUUCCGAUCAUUAGUGUGUUCGCAUAUUAGAGAGUUUUUUUUUUAUAUAUUCAAGUUGCUUAACACAAAAGAGUCUGAGUGGUUCCUUCCUAAGUUCAUGCAUCAUUAUCUUAAUUAUAAGGACUAUAUCCUGCGGCGAGAUCUGAAUCCUGAGACCGGACAUAAUUACACUAAAAUCAUAACCAGUAAAUGUUUAAGCGAGAAUCAUAAUCAGGAAAAGUGCAAGCGAGAAUAAUUGUAUUAUCACGAUUGGCAAUACACCCCUCGACAACAAAGCUAAGCAUCACACACACCGUCACACAUACACGAUACGCCACUAGAUGACGAAUCCGAGCAUCACAUCACACACACACAUCAAUCAUUAAUAACCAUAGACACAGAAUACACCCCUAGAUCACGAAGCCAAGCCAAUAAUAAUACACAUAACCACACGCACACAUAUUGAUCCUUAUACAAACUAACACACACAUUAAUAAUACUCC